UCCCCGUCCCGAUUCAUCCUGCCACCGAACAUCGCGCCGCCAUGAUCCGCGGCCGCUCACUUGUGCGCACCGCCUCCGUCUGUAGAUUCCCGCCGCCCGUCCGCUCCCGCGCGCCGCCUGCUCCCACUUGCCGCCCGGUAUGCCUAUGCGCCGCCUGCCUGCACCCUCACGCAGCCUUGUCCGCCCGUUCGUCGCCCACACAUCGUGUUCGGCCACUGGUCGC
This 223-nucleotide long non-coding RNA is filed under the name Brachypodium distachyon (stiff brome). Its description in RNAcentral is "long non-coding RNA (BDIS_LNC003255)". The record is from RNAcentral. Lineage: Eukaryota; Viridiplantae; Streptophyta; Magnoliopsida; Poales; Poaceae.